Molecule: long non-coding RNA, 3569 nt
Organism: Gadus morhua (Atlantic cod)
Lineage: Eukaryota; Metazoa; Chordata; Actinopteri; Gadiformes; Gadidae
Source: Ensembl
AGUAUAAAAACAUCAUACAAACUGCCAAUCGGCAGAUUGGAUCUGGCCCUCAAAUUGUCUUGACCCCGGUGGAGGAGCUGGCAAUAGACAUAAAUUCAGGGCGCCCUGGCAUGGAGGGGGUACCUGGAGGUACCUCCUCAGAGAGUCAGGGGCUAUGUGAGGGUGCCCCACUGGUUGAAUUCCCUGUCGACCCUGUCUGCUUACCGGUUACCAAAUCCUCACCCGCCCGACAAUCUGCCUGUCGCCGAGAUCCUGCCUGCCUACCUGUUACCGACCCAUCGCCUGUCCGACCUCCCACCUGUCAUCGAACAUCUGCCUGCCUGCCCGUUGCAGACCAAUCGCCUGUCCGACCUCCCACCUGUCGUCGAACCUCUGCCUGCCUGCCCGUUGCCGAACCAUCGCCUGUCUGGUCUCCUGACGACCUUCGGUCCCCAACCGGAUGGUCGACUCGUCCGCCCCCGGCUCCCCGCCUAUGUCUGCCUUCCCGUUACCGACCCCAUGCCUCCUUAAUUGAAGUAAACUUGUACUUUCGCAACCCCUGUCUUGAGUCGUGCUUCUGGGUUCACGUCCUCUCCGUCUCCUUAUCGGAGCGUGACAGUAGGAGGCCGAUGAAAAUCUUGGUCCGGACGUUGAUGGGUCAUCUGAAAGGACUGAGAUGUGCUCUGCAUCUCCAACAUUAUAGCGAAAACAACCAUUUGCAAAAAAUGGAGGGCUACGCAAAUAGUCUGGAGUGAACUGAGGCCAGGUCCUUUAAUGGUAGUGUUGGCUAUGUAAGGCUGGUUAAGGCUAUUUCAAUAUAAUAAAGAAUUGCGCGAGAAUCUAUAACUCUGCAGCAAAAAGUCAUCCGGACAUGCCAAGAUGUUGAGCCGUGGUCUUAUUAAUCGCUCCCCGUGGAUUGCACGAAUAAUUUGUGCUCCGAUAUCAACAGGCCUCUCAUCAAAAGGGCUUGCCAUUGUGAACACAUGAAAUCUGCGGUGAACACGGGUUUAAAUACCCAAAGCCGGGUUAUGUUCCAAACUUAACCUGCGCAAAAUCUGCUCCGACCAGGUUUGAUUCAGAGCACACGUUUCUAUAGUAACUAACAUACCGUGUUCAUUUUGGAACGAAAAACCUAGGGUUACCGCAAACCCUGGGUUAACUUACCCAGUUAUCUGAUAAGACCGGCUUUGUGGAAUACCCCUCAGAAUACGAUUUAUUGUUGACGGAGUAACAGCUACGCUAUAUGGGUAGCAACAGAACAAAGCACUAAAACGUCACUAUAACACACACACACACACACGUAAAAGUAAAUAAAUAAGCUUUCAUUUCCAGAGUGCCUGGCUGGGAAGUCAAACUCCUUUGGGCGGCAGGGCUCUUCACCAACAGAGUUAGUUGGUGGUGCCGCAGGUGGCGGGACUAACCCAACAUAGGAUUGACCGGAGGGGGGUUAGCAUUGCUGCUGUCCCCUCUACUUGCUGCUCUGAACUCUCCCCCUCAGGGGUGCUGGAGGGACAGGGGGCCGCUGGCAGGGAGUCGGCUGUCUGGCUGGUGUUCUGAAGUUUGGCUAUUUUGGGGCCAGUAUUUAAAAAUCUGAAAUUCGCUUCUGGGACAUGUUGCAACUUGCAGCUCUAUUGAUCUUUCGCACGUAGCAUGUUCUGCGUUGUGCAUCAUACGACAGCAUACACAGACAAUGUUCUAAAAUGAAAUAAUAAUUAUAAAUAUCAUAAAAUUCGGGAUGUGCAUGAUUGCAUAAUGAAAAACCAUCUUGUACGAUAAAAUCUUAUAAACAAAAGGAUUGAUUUGUUCAGAAAAGUUUUUCACUUGCAGUUGCAGCCCCCUCCGGGGGAGGGAGGGGAUGCACCCUCAGCACCCCCCCUUCCCGCGUCCCUGCUCCCCGACCCCCCUUAUCAUUCCUGACCUGGGCACUCCACCACCACCUAUCAUCCGCAUUAUGCUAGACGCUGGCACUAUUAUGUGAGGCUGAACCCUGAAGUCAAGAGACUUAAUUUAUCUUAUGACUGACACUAAUGACUGACACGCUCCCACUACCCAAACACAUAUCAAGAUCCCAUAGUUCCCGUAGUGUGACUUUAUUCCAUGUAGAUGUAGCAGGGUUAAUGCUUCCCACUUGCCAUUGCCAGCGAGAUCCUUGCGCUGGCUGUGGUAGUGGGAGCCUUGGUUGGAGUGCUAGAGCUCCCCCUAGCGGAAUGCGGGGGUUGUAUUUUACGUUGCUGCCUCCUCUCCUCAGUCUACGUAUAUCCCGGCUGGGAGAGGUAGGUAGUCAGAGCAGUUAAACAUGAAUCCACACUUUGGCGAUGUAUUACGGGAGUCUAAAUGUACAUAAUACUUAUUGCGUAGUUCUUCAAGGAAAGGGAUCGAAUCCAAAAGAAUAGCUUUAAAGAGACUUUAUUUGUAUAAAGUAUUUUCGGUAUGGUAAACUGAUACUCUGAAGCAAAGAGAGAUUGAAGAUGUAUUCUAAGCACGUGCUGAGCGUCUCCUAGCUGAUCAAAAACAUAAACCCAUCUAUGUCUAAUAGCUGCCGAGAAGAUUCUGAAGACAAUGCUCGAUCUGUAGGCUGUUAUGGUCUGAACAGCGCGGUCCGGAAGUAGUGGGGGGGGAGCCGAUGUGAGAUAACCCUCGGCUUUCUCGUCUGGUCUGUGGUGCUGCCUUCUGUGGCUAAAGUAUUUAUUACAGCCUUCAGUAAGGUCUUGCUCCCCUUGUGGCUAUGUAUGGUAUUUACGGCUUAUAUGUUUGGUCCUGCUUCAUUGGGUCUAUGUGUGGGUAUCUUAGAUUCUUAAAAUACGUAACAUACUGCAUUAAUACUUGGUUGCUUGUACAUAUAUAUUGUGUUGCUUGGAAUCUGUAAUUACUUUUAAAUGGACUUUAGUCUUAGGAUCGCUAGCUUGGCUACCAUGUGCUUUGGUCGUAGCUACUUAGCUAGCGUCGACUUCGCCAUGAAAGUGUACUUCAGCUUGUCUUUCUCCCAUGUUAGGCUGCCAUUGUGAGGGUUCUCAAAGAACAUUUCCCAUGUUAAAUAUUCCACCAGGUAUGUCACCAAACGCCCAUUCAAAUAUUUUGUGAGUCAUUUGUUUAAUGUGAUAUUUAUUUUCAUGUAAAUGGUCAGUCUACGUAUAUCCCGGCUGGGAGAGGCUGCCAUUGUGAGGGUUCUCAAAGAGCAUUUCCCAUGUUAAAUAUUCCACCAGAAUAAACGGCUGGCUGCCAAUGGUUCCAUCGUGGUCUCAAUCACACAACGCAACGAGAGAGUACACAACCGCUACAAAUGGUGCCGUGACCCGUUCUUCUCUGCCUGUCUGCUGCGUCAUUGAGGAUCGCCAUUCGACACGUGGCACGUAAGCACCGACGACGUGGCCGUGCAGUGAGUCGCCCGUGCUGCUUCGAGUAGACAGGUUCAGUAAUAAAAAUAAAGAGGAAUAAUUCGAACCAAGGGAUAUGGUUGAAGCCGACCAUCUUCUAAAGAUAUAUGUGUUUUAUUUUUGUGUUUUAUUUUAUUUUUAUUUCUCCUUCUCGUGCACAUAAUGCAAAUUGAGUUUAUUUUUUUUGUUUGUUUUAUUUUGCUUUUGAGUUGAACG